RNAcentral lists this ribosomal RNA (253 nucleotides) under uncultured bacterium. Its description in RNAcentral is "partial 16S ribosomal RNA". It matches the Rfam family "Bacterial small subunit ribosomal RNA", at positions 524 to 776 of the family's 1533-position model. The record is from RNAcentral.
UACGUAGGGUGCGAGCGUUAAUCGGAAUUACUGGGCGUAAAGCGUGCGCAGGCGGUUUUGUAAGCCAGAUGUGAAAUCCCCGGGCUUAACCUGGGAAUGGCAUUUGGGACUGCAAGGCUGGAGUGUGGCAGAGGAGACUGGAAUUCCCGGUGUAGCGGUGAAAUGCGCAGAUAUCAGGAGGAACACCAAUUGCGAAGGCAGCUCGCUGGGACGUUACCGACGCUGAGACGCGAAAGCGUGGGGAGCAAACAGG